UAGAGUUUGAUCCUGGCUCAAGAUGAACUCUGGCGGCGCGCCUAACACAUGCAAGUCGAACGGCACCCCUCUCCGGAGGGAAGCGAGUGGCGAACGGCUGAGUAACACGUGGAGAACCUGCCCCCUCCCCCGGGAUAGCCGCCCGAAAGGACGGGUAAUACCGGAUACCCCCGGGCGCCGCAUGGCGCCCGGGCUAAAGCCCCGACGGGAGGGGAUGGCUCCGCGGCCCAUCAGGUAGACGGCGGGGUGACGGCCCACCGUGCCGACAACGGGUAGCCGGGUUGAGAGACCGACCGGCCAGAUUGGGACUGAGACACGGCCCACACUCCUACGGGAGGCAGCAGUGGGGAAUCUUGCGCAAUGGGGGGAACCCUGACGCAGCGACGCCGCGUGCGGGACGGAGGCCUUCGGGUCGUAAACCGCUUUCAGCAGGGAAGAGUCAAGACUGUACCUGCAGAAGAAGCCCCGGCUAACUACGUGCCAGCAGCCGCGGUAAUACGUAGGGGGCGAGCGUUAUCCGGAUUCAUUGGGCGUAAAGCGCGCGUAGGCGGCCCGGCAGGCCGGGGGUCGAAGCGGGGGGCUCAACCCCCCGAAGCCCCCGGAACCUCCGCGGCUUGGGUCCGGUAGGGGAGGGUGGAACACCCGGUGUAGCGGUGGAAUGCGCAGAUAUCGGGUGGAACACCGGUGGGGAAGGCGGCCCUCUGGGCCGAGACCGACGCUGAGGCGCGAAAGCUGGGGGAG
This 741-nucleotide ribosomal RNA is filed under the name uncultured bacterium. Its description in RNAcentral is "bacterial SSU rRNA". It matches the Rfam family "Bacterial small subunit ribosomal RNA", at positions 1 to 768 of the family's 1533-position model. The record is from RNAcentral.